Long non-coding RNA from Juglans microcarpa x Juglans regia, 310 nucleotides. RefSeq lists it as uncharacterized. The record is from RefSeq and is a predicted model, not a curated record. The transcript has 3 exons. NCBI's taxonomy places the organism in Eukaryota, Viridiplantae, Streptophyta, Magnoliopsida, Fagales, Juglandaceae.
UUAUUGUGAGGCCAUGGUUAAAAGCUCCUCUCUUUCCCUUUUCGUUUUUAUGGUUAUGAAUGACUGAACAGUAGUAGUACUGGAGCAAGCUUCAAAAUGUUGAGGCUAGUAGUAGUUUUGCUGACGAAUCUAGCAGUACUGGUUUUAAGUAUUGAUAAAUUUAGUAGAGAUGACUUUCCUCCUGGUUUCAUGUUUGGGGCUUCGACCUCUGCUUAUCAGGUUGAACGUGCUGCAAACGAGGAUGGGAGGACUCCUAGCAUAUGGGAUACUUUCGCCCAAGCAGCGAAUAUGCAUGGAGCCACUGGAGACA